RNAcentral lists this transfer RNA (73 nucleotides) under candidate division CSSED10-310 bacterium. RNAcentral describes it as "tRNA-Gly". It matches the Rfam family "tRNA". Rfam says of the family: Transfer RNA (tRNA) molecules are approximately 80 nucleotides in length. Lineage: Bacteria; candidate division CSSED10-310. The record is from RNAcentral.
GCGGGAAUAGCUCAGCUGGUAGAGCAUCAGCCUUCCAAGCUGGUGGUCGCGGGUUCGAAUCCCGUUUCCCGCU